GAUGAACGCUGGCGGCGUGCCUAAUACAUGCAAGUCGAGCGAACGGACGAGAAGCUUUCUUCUCUUCUGUUAGCGACGGGCGGGUGAUUACCACGUGGAUAACCUAUCUAUAGGGCUAGGAUAACUUCGGGAAACCGGAGAUAACACCGGAUAAUAUUUUGAACCGCAUGGUUCAUCAGAGAUAGCCGGUCUUGCUGUCACUUAUACAUGGAUCCGCGCUGCAUUAGCUAGUUGGUAAGGUAACGGCUUACCAAGGCAACGAUGCAUAGCCGACCUGAGAGGGUGAUCGGCCACACUGGAACUGAGACACGGUCCAGACUCCUACGGGAGGCAGCAGUAGGGAAUCUUCGGCAAUGGGCGAAAGCCUGACGCAGCAACGCCGCGUGAGUGAUGAAGGUCUUCGGAUCGUAAAACUCUGUUAUUAGGGAAGAACAGAUGUGUAAGUAAACGUGCACAUCUUGACGUUACCUAAUCAGAAAGCCACGGCUAACUACGUG
This 497-nucleotide ribosomal RNA is filed under the name uncultured bacterium. RNAcentral's name for it is "partial 16S ribosomal RNA". It matches the Rfam family "Bacterial small subunit ribosomal RNA", at positions 28 to 507 of the family's 1533-position model. The record is from RNAcentral.